This 164-nucleotide ribosomal RNA is filed under the name Elymus repens. RNAcentral's name for it is "5.8S ribosomal RNA". It matches the Rfam family "5.8S ribosomal RNA". Rfam says of the family: 5.8S ribosomal RNA (5.8S rRNA) is a component of the large subunit of the eukaryotic ribosome. It is transcribed by RNA polymerase I as part of the 45S precursor that also contains 18S and 28S rRNA. Lineage: Eukaryota; Viridiplantae; Streptophyta; Magnoliopsida; Poales; Poaceae. The record is from RNAcentral.
CACACGACUCUCGGCAACGGAUAUCUCGGCUCUCGCAUCGAUGAAGAACAUAGCGAAAUGCGAUACCUGGUGUGAAUUGCAUAAUCCCGCGAACCAUCGAGUCUUUGAACGCAAGUUGCGCCCGAGGCCACUCGGCCGAGGGCACGCCUGCCUGGGCGUCACGC